AUACGGAGGAUCCGAGCGUUAUCCGGAUUUAUUGGGUUUAAAGGGUGCGCAGGCGGGAGAUUAAGUCGGCGGUGAAAUUUUUCAGCUCAAAUGUAAAAGGGCCUUCGAAACUGGUUUCCUUUAGUGUAGAUGAAGUAGGCGGAAUUUGUGGUGUAGCGGUGGAAUGCAUAGAUAUCACGAGGAACUCCGAUUGCGCAGGCAGCUUACUAAACUACUACUGACGCUCAGGCACGAAGGCGUGGGGAUCAAACAGGAUUAGAUACCCUGGUAGUCCACGCAGUAAACGAUGAUUACUAGCUGUUUGCGAUACAAUGUAAGCGGCUGAGCGAAAGCGUUAAGUAAUCCACCUGGGGAGUACGGUCGCAAGAAUGAAACUCAAAUGAAUUGACGGGG
This 393-nucleotide ribosomal RNA is filed under the name uncultured bacterium. RNAcentral describes it as "partial 16S ribosomal RNA". It matches the Rfam family "Bacterial small subunit ribosomal RNA", at positions 523 to 918 of the family's 1533-position model. The record is from RNAcentral.